This 435-nucleotide ribosomal RNA is filed under the name uncultured bacterium. RNAcentral's name for it is "partial 16S ribosomal RNA". It matches the Rfam family "Bacterial small subunit ribosomal RNA", at positions 28 to 507 of the family's 1533-position model. The record is from RNAcentral.
GAUGAACGCUGGCGGUAUGCUUAACACAUGCAAGUCGAACGGACUCUUCGGAGUUAGUGGCGGACGGGUGAGUAACGCGUGAGAAUCUGGCUUUGGGUUCGGGACAACCACUGGAAACGGUGGCUAAUACCGGAUGUGCCGAGAGGUAAAAGAGAAAUUGCCUGAAGAUGAGCUCGCGUCUGAUUAGCUAGUUGGUGAGGUAAAGGCUCACCAAGGCAGCGAUCAGUAGCUGGUCUGAGAGGAUGACCAGCCACACUGGGACUGAGACACGGCCCAGACUCCUACGGGAGGCAGCAGUGGGGAAUUUUCCGCAAUGGGCGAAAGCCUGACGGAGCAAUACCGCGUGAGGGAAGAAGGCUCUUGGGUUGUAAACCUAUUUUCUUAGGGAAGAACAAAAUGACGGUACCUAAGGAAUCAGCAUCGGCUAACUCCGUG